Molecule: ribosomal RNA, 378 nt
Filed under: uncultured bacterium
Lineage: Bacteria
Description: bacterial SSU rRNA
Rfam family: Bacterial small subunit ribosomal RNA
Source: RNAcentral
GAAGAACCUUACCUACCCUUGACAUGCCAGGAAUCCUGUAGAGAUAUGGGAGUGCUCGAAAGAGAACCUGGACACAGGUGCUGCAUGGCUGUCGUCAGCUCGUGUCGUGAGAUGUUGGGUUAAGUCCCGCAACGAGCGCAACCCUUGUCAUUAGUUGCCAUCAUUCAGUUGGGCACUCUAAUGAGACUGCCGGUGACAAACCGGAGGAAGGUGGGGAUGACGUCAAGUCCUCAUGGCCCUUAUGGGUAGGGCUUCACACGUCAUACAAUGGUCGGUACAAAGGGUUGCCAAGCCGCGAGGUGGAGCCAAUCCCGAAAAGCCGAUCGUAGUCCGGAUCGGAGUCUGCAACUCGACUCCGUGAAGUCGGAAUCGGUAGUA